This is a long non-coding RNA of Canis lupus familiaris (dog), 687 nucleotides long. RefSeq lists it as uncharacterized. The transcript has 4 exons. Lineage: Eukaryota; Metazoa; Chordata; Mammalia; Carnivora; Canidae. The record is from RefSeq and is a predicted model, not a curated record.
AGCACUGGAACCCCACGCUAUGUGUCCCUCGGUGUGGCUCAUCCGCUCAGCGUCACCUGUUCCAGGUCCCUCCACAUGGGAGCAGCUGCUGUGAACACAUCGGGCACAGGACCUUUUUUAAAGAUGGACACGUAUCUUCCGCUCUGGCCACGGUGUUGCCACACUGGGCUGUGCAGCCUUGAGCUUCCGUGUAGCCUCUCUGUUUCAGUGACCCCUCUAGAAGUGGGGGGACUGGGUCAGAGACUUUCUGGGGUCUUUUCCGACCCCAUGUGCUGCUCGUGUGAAACCCAUGGCUUUGCUCGGGGACUGGCCACAGAGUUCAGCCAUCCGAUGCUCAGGUGCCCGCGAGCCGAUCACACGGAUGUGUGCAUUCCUCGAGAAUAAAACUCAGGGUGAACUCAGAUUGACCUGAAACACAAACCGAGAACGAGUCCCUGAAGCUUUACCGGAUGUACACCUUGCAAGAAACAGCCCGUGUCCCUGAUUCCCAGCGGGAGGACCUCUCGAGGUUCCAAUGUAGCCCGUCUCAGACUGCCCCCCGAGGACACCUGCAGAGAGGCGGAGCCCCCCAGGCCCGUGAGGAAGCUGUUCCCUCCGGUGGGGCCCCAGGGGCUGCCCAUGGUGAAGGGGAGACGCCCUCACGCAGAGGGAGCUGCGCAGCGCACCCAGAUCCAACGGUGGGAGCUG